Long non-coding RNA from Callithrix jacchus (white-tufted-ear marmoset), 334 nucleotides. The record is from Ensembl. Lineage: Eukaryota; Metazoa; Chordata; Mammalia; Primates; Cebidae.
CAGCAUUCCUCCCUCCCCUUCCCCACUCCCCAGCCCAGUGACAGUCGGUGCCCUUGCCUCCCUGGCUACCAAGAUGUUGGACAGCCGAUGGGCUGUGUCCGGCAGGAACACAGGAGUUGCAAGGAUGGAGCCACCUGGAACCAGGAGGGGCUAUGUUUGACCAAGCGUCAGUGAAAUGACCACUGUGCCUACCAGGAUUUUUUUCCUUCUGGACCGGCUUUCCCCACCAUGUGCUGUGGGCCAUCCCUGCAACUUGGAGCUAGGGCAGAAGUCUGGCCCCCUCUAUGUAGUCAAGAUGGAUGAAAGUUGAAGCUACCAUGUGCAGACCAGGCUG